GGUUCUCCAUCAUCUACUCUCCUCUUUAACUAGUCGAGAGUGGUGGAACCUCGCAGUCCGAUCUUCCGCUUUUCAUCGAGCGUUGGUGAGGUCUGCCAAAGUGAAAGUAGUGCUCCGAGUAUUGCCCAACGGUCAGUCAGCAAUGGCUUUCGGUUGGGUAAGUAGCCGCACUCGAGUAGACGUGAACCUUCGCAUUUGUUUCAUUACAUCUGUGUCUUCUAGCCCAUACCCGAUUAUCCUACACUUGCUCGGCUUCUGUUCGGUAUAUACCAUCGGCUUCCUUCAUUGGAUUCCCUUGCAAUAUCGACAUAGACGAACCAGCCUAUAUAAGU
This 332-nucleotide unclassified non-coding RNA is filed under the name uncultured Chloromonas. RNAcentral's name for it is "partial contains ITS2 and 28S rRNA". The record is from RNAcentral. Lineage: Eukaryota; Viridiplantae; Chlorophyta; Chlorophyceae; Chlamydomonadales; Chlamydomonadaceae.